GCCUUCGUGGUGUAGUGGUCUGCAUGAUCGAUGCGUAACCGAGAGGUCCGUGGUUCGAUUCCCGGCGAAGGCG
This 73-nucleotide transfer RNA is filed under the name Stegodyphus mimosarum. It matches the Rfam family "tRNA". From Rfam's summary of the family: Transfer RNA (tRNA) molecules are approximately 80 nucleotides in length. The record is from Rfam by way of RNAcentral. Lineage: Eukaryota; Metazoa; Arthropoda; Arachnida; Araneae; Eresidae.